UUUGCCUCCUCUGCCCCUCUCUUUCAGACUUGACUAUCUUUCCUUCUCUCACUCUCUCUCACACUAUGUCUCUAAUCCAUUUUGUUGAGCCGUUGGAUCACCGCGAUCUGUACGAUUCUUGCUGCUCCUUCUCCCUCACGCGAUUUUUGCUGCUUAGUCUCCCCCUUCUCCCUCAUGCAAGUCUUGCUGCUCCUUCUCUAACUCCGUCUUCUCCCUCACGCGAUUCUCCCUCACGACAUUUCUCCUACUGGAAGCAAAAACCCAGGCAAGAGCACUCUAACCUCAUUUGUCUAUGUGAGGUAUUUUUUUUAAUUAAGAUUUCAAUUUAAUAUCAGAUAAUCACUGAUUCGAAAGCUCGCUUGUAAUGAUGCUAUCGAAAUCGGACCUCCCAGCGAUAUACUCAUUCUUGACUAAUUCAUUGAGUGGCGACGAAAGCGUCCGCAAGCCAGCAGAGGAGGCUCUCGCUCAGUGCGAGGCUAGGCCCAGCUUUUGCUCUUGUCUCAUGGUACUUUGUUUUAACUCCUCAUGAUUUGGAGGAGUUGUACCACAACCCUGAAUCAUUUCAUCACGAGCAGGAUAUGAUUCAGUGGACAGAAAAAUUGAGGCCUUGUGCUGAGGCUUUGUACAUUGUUUUGUUUCAUAACCAUAGCGAGCUUUUAGGUCCUCUUGUGGUUUCAAUCCUUCAAGAAGCAAUGAAUGGUUGCCCAACACCAGUUACUAAAAUCACUCCAGGGCUGCUUCUAAAAGAUGCUGCUUAUGCUGCUGCUGCAUAUGUUUAUUAUGAGCUUUCAAAUUACAUGACCUUUAAAGAUUGGUUUAAUGGUGCAUUAUCACUUGAUCUCUCAAAUGAUCAUCCAAAUAUGCGUUUCAUCCAUCGGAAAGUCGCAAUUAUAUUGGGACAAUGGGUUUCUGAGAUUAAAGAUGACACUAAAAGACCAGUAUACUAUGCUUUGAUCAAAUUGCUACAAGACAAAGACCUAUUUGUUAGAUUGGCAGCCUGUAGGUCGUUGUGUCUGCAUAUUGAAGAUGCUAACUUUUUAGAGGGAGCAUUCACUGAUCUUCUUCCCGUGUGUUAGGAUUCAUGUUUCAAGUUGGUCGAGGAAGUCCAAGAAUUUGAUUCAUAGGUACAGGUUUUGAAUUUGAUCUCCAUUCUGACAGGUCAUGUCAAGGAAAUUAUUCCAUUUGCAAAAAAAUUGGUGCUAUUUUUCCAAAAGGUGCCAGAGAACUUGGAAUCUUGAUCAGAAUUAGACAAAAAGACAACUAUUAGUGAUCUUAAUGAAAGGCAUGGACUGGCUAGUGAUGGGUGGCAUUCUCAGCUGUAGCAGUGGACAAAAUGUGCCAUCCAUUGGAAAGUCCAUGAAAUCCUCAAUGCCUUCUGGAUAUGUCAAAAAUUUGAAUGCUGGAGACUUGUUUUUUCUCCCAUAACUGAUUCUGCUUCAAAUCAUGGCCUAAUCCUAAUAAUUCUCUAUGGUUUGAAUUUGUACUUUUAUGUAUAAGUAACAGAUGUGCUGGGUCUUGGAAAUUAUGCCACUGAUGAUGAUGAAAUUCAUAUCUCUAGCUUGCCAAAUUCCAGGAAUAAAAAGCUUCAGCAUUCAAAUUUUGAAAAAUCUUCAGAAGACAAGCAUGAUGUUGGUGCAAAUGGCAGUUUGGUAGCCCUUGUUGUAGAAAGGUGCACACAAGACGCAACUUGUCAUGCUCCCCGUCACCUGGCAAGUCUAGAAGUAGAAGAAGUUAAGCAAAUGGACUCAAAACAAAGACAAGUGCACAAAUGAUGAUGAAUUGAAGAAUGGAGCAAGUUUCAUGCAUGGUUUACUUUUGUGUAUCUUGUAAUGUUUCUGUUUUUCAUUUUUGAAGUAAAAAAUGUUCAAGAUUAUAAAACUUUAUUAUGCUAUGCUUUCAAACUUAAGUUAGAACUAAGAUCUCAUGAAGUAGACACAUUCAUCGUUUGAAUUAGUUAUUCUUUAAUGUAAUACUUAUGGUUUAUCAAUCUAUUGAGAAUUACAUUUUAUGAUUAA
Humulus lupulus (European hop) is the source of this 2015-nucleotide long non-coding RNA. RefSeq lists it as uncharacterized. The record is from RefSeq and is a predicted model, not a curated record. The transcript has 12 exons. NCBI's taxonomy places the organism in Eukaryota, Viridiplantae, Streptophyta, Magnoliopsida, Rosales, Cannabaceae.